GUGUCAGCCGCCGCGGUAACACGUAGGGCGCAAGCGUUGUCCGGAAUUAUUGGGCGUAAAGAGCUCGUAGGUGGUCUGCUACGUCCGCUGUGAAAAUCCAAGGCUUAACCUUGGGCUUGCAGUGGAUACGGGCAGACUAGAGGUAGGUAGGGGAGAAUGGAAUUCCCGGUGUAGCGGUGAAAUGCGCAGAUAUCGGGAGGAACACCGGUGGCGAAGGCGGUUCUCUGGGCCUUACCUGACACUGAGGAGCGAAAGCGUGGGGAGCGAACAGGAUUAGAUACCCUGGUAGUCC
This 292-nucleotide ribosomal RNA is filed under the name uncultured bacterium. RNAcentral's name for it is "partial 16S ribosomal RNA". It matches the Rfam family "Bacterial small subunit ribosomal RNA", at positions 505 to 796 of the family's 1533-position model. The record is from RNAcentral.